UCUAAGUCCCGCAACGAGCGCAACCCUUGUCUUUAAUUGCCAUCAUUGAUUGGGGCACUUUAAAGAGACUGCCGGUGUUAAACCGGAGGAAGGUGGGGAUGACGUCAAGUCCUCAUGGCCUUUAUGCCCAGGGCUACACACGUGCUACAAUGGGUGGUACAAAGAGCAGCCAGCUCGCGAGAGUGAGCAAAUCUCAAAAAGCCAUCCUCAGUUCGGAUUGAAGUCUGCAACUCGACUUCAUGAAGUUGGAAUCGCUAGUAAUCGCGGAUCAGCAUGCCCGCGGUCGAAUACGUUCCGGGCCUU
RNAcentral lists this ribosomal RNA (303 nucleotides) under uncultured Syntrophus sp. Its description in RNAcentral is "bacterial SSU rRNA". It matches the Rfam family "Bacterial small subunit ribosomal RNA", at positions 1079 to 1382 of the family's 1533-position model. The record is from RNAcentral. Lineage: Bacteria; Pseudomonadati; Thermodesulfobacteriota; Syntrophia; Syntrophales; Syntrophaceae.